RNAcentral lists this small RNA (148 nucleotides) under Planococcus massiliensis. Its description in RNAcentral is "L10_leader". It matches the Rfam family "Ribosomal protein L10 leader". Rfam says of the family: This family is a putative r-protein leader autoregulatory structure found in B. subtilis and other low-GC Gram-positive bacteria. It is located in the 5' untranslated regions of mRNAs encoding ribosomal proteins L10 and L12 (rplJ-rplL). The record is from RNAcentral. Lineage: Bacteria; Bacillati; Bacillota; Bacilli; Caryophanales; Caryophanaceae.
GUAAAAUGCAUAUUUGUACCGCAGACAGCAGGGGCGCGAGCCGCUUAAUUUAUCCCUGCCGAGGACAUGAUGAAUUCAGUACCCAUCUUUUUGAUGCUGAACUUAUGCCUCUGUGUCUGUAAAGACCAGAGGCUUUUCUUAUGGACGA